AACGCAACUUGCGCCCAGCAAUGGGCAUGUCUGUUUGAGUACCGCAAAACCAUCUGUUCUCUGCAAAGAGGGCGAAUUGGGCCUCUGCAUGUGCUAUCGUGUAUGCAAGGCCUGGAAAGCAGCAAGAAGGUGCCGCUGAUGGAGGCCCUGCUGUGUGCUAUAAACACAUUCUUGUGUUUGGUCGCAGCAGGCGUCUCUGCCUGUGGACACAAUACUAUAUCUUCUAAUUUGGUCUCAAAUCAGGCAGGACUACCCGCUGAACUUAA
Molecule: unclassified non-coding RNA, 266 nt
Filed under: Cheilymenia sp.
Lineage: Eukaryota; Fungi; Ascomycota; Pezizomycetes; Pezizales; Pyronemataceae
Also listed under: 1 other name
Description: partial contains 5.8S ribosomal RNA, internal transcribed spacer 2, and large subunit ribosomal RNA
Source: RNAcentral